Molecule: long non-coding RNA, 564 nt
Filed under: Zonotrichia albicollis (white-throated sparrow)
Lineage: Eukaryota; Metazoa; Chordata; Aves; Passeriformes; Passerellidae
Description: lncRNA (ENSZALG00000001155.1)
Source: RNAcentral
GCCCUUCCCAAAUAGCAGCUCCUCUUCCUCAGGAGGGAUCCCUCACUCUGCCUCCUGAAUGGAGAGGAGGUGAUGUUUUAAUGACCAAGAAGAACACAGGCUGCAGCUGAAGGCAAGGGAACUCUUCUGCUGUGGUGACCCUCAGCCUGUGGUAACCACGGAGCAAGGCAGCUGAAGGAGCACACCUGUCCCCUGGGGAGCUGCACACAGAGCACUUCUUUGACGUCUGUUCCUCAUCAGAGUUCACCACCCAAGUCAGUUCACAGUGGUAAUGGCAAGGGACUGAGUUGUUCCCCUCCCAGGCCUCUCUGGGAAGCCAAGGCUCCAGCAGCAUCACAUACACUUGUUCUCUCUGGCCUGCAGCAAACACUUCUCUAUAAUUCAUGGGAUAUCUGGGAGAGAAGCAAAUGUCGUGUGGAGCCCGAUGGAGGAGCUGCAGCUGAACAUCUGGAUGGUUUUACAAGCAAGAACAAGCACAAGUCAGCUCUGAACAUGGACACCAGAACAGCCCCCACGAUGGCUGGAUAUUUUAUUACAUGGACCUGUCAGAAAAAUCCAACCUAG